RNAcentral lists this unclassified non-coding RNA (238 nucleotides) under Hevea brasiliensis (rubber tree). Lineage: Eukaryota; Viridiplantae; Streptophyta; Magnoliopsida; Malpighiales; Euphorbiaceae. The record is from RNAcentral.
GUCUUUUCCUUCUGGGUCCCCUCCACGGCGUUGCCAACAUCAUCAUGCUCAUAUUUACCUCUUCGCUUAUGAUUUAGCUGAUUCGUUGUUGUUACUUGUCUUAACUUCUAUUGGACAUUGAGAUACAUAAGGCUUCAGCUUGAAAUGAGUCAAAUCAGGGACGACAUAGUUAGGCAGUUUCUCUGGCACCACUACAUAUCCACCUUUGCGCGUAUGAAAACCAGUAGGCUUGCAAUUU